GUGCUCGCUUCGGCAGCACACAUACUAAAAUUGGAAUGAUACAGAGAAUAUUAGCAUGGCCCCUGCGCAAGGAUGACACCAAAUUCGUGAAGCAUUCCAUAUUUAA
This 106-nucleotide small nuclear RNA is filed under the name Myotis brandtii (Brandt's bat). The record is from RNAcentral. Lineage: Eukaryota; Metazoa; Chordata; Mammalia; Chiroptera; Vespertilionidae.